AGAAACACUAUCACCUACGCAUACCUCUGCUUCUUUUCAUUAACCUGCUAUCCUCUUUACAAAUGGGAUUCUUCACCCACUCCCUUCUUCUAGAUUAGCAAUGCCCUGUUAAGUAAACGAACACGAAAUUCAAAGGGAAACAGGAGCAAUCAUCAUUACCAGCUGCCGUGUUAAGCAUUGCGAAAACGCUCACGAUUCACAGAAAAAUCCAUGCUGUUCUUUGAAGGCAUUCAAGCCUUAAUAGCUAGCUGGAUGAAUGUUUAACUUCUAGGCCAGGCACUACUCUGUCCCAACAAUAAGCCCUGUACAUUGGGAAAGGUGCCGAGACAUGAACUUUGGUCUUCUCUGCAAUCCAUCUGGAGCAUUCACUGACAACAUCGACUUUGAAGUUGCACUGACCUGGCCAGCCCUGCCACUUACCAGGUUGGGGUCUGCCCUCAGGGGAAGCUGUCUAACCAGAGCCUAACCCACUAGGGUUUUAUCAGAACCUAACUGACCUGAGGAAAAGAAAUACUCAACUCCAGCAAGCUCCAGCCUUCCAAAUGGAGGAGGAGAAAACCCAACUCCAGCCCACUUCAGCUAUCUUGUCCCACAUAAAGGGGAAGUGGAAGAAACCUGAGAAGCAGGCAUGAAGUUCACAGUCCAGAGACCUUGCCAUCGUAUCCCCUUUUGGAGACACAAGCCAGGAAGGAAGCUCUUCAGUGCAGCUGUGAAUAGAGAAAUGCUGGCUGAGGUUUUGGAGACACUGGGUGAUCAUUCCCAGUGAAAUUUUUAGAUCCCUGGGGACAUGAGCUGCUUUGUCUUUUCCAAGGUCAGGAUAAACAGAAUAACUUCAGGCUUCUCUACCCAGAAAGAACAUGUGGCAUAAAUAUCAACUGCAGAAUAAAUAUGAUUAAUCUGGUACAUGGACGAAGAUGUUUUCUAGGAGAUGCUUAUCCUGGGAUGAGAGCUUUCAUAAGCAUUGAUAUUUACAUGACUCUUACCGUGUGUCAGGAACUGUUCUAAUUGUUUUACCUAUGUCAAUUCAUUUGAUAGUCACAACCACUGAAAGGAGUAAGUACUCUUAUUACUUCCAUUUUACAGAUAGGGAAACUGAGGUAUAGAGAAGUCAAGUGACUUGCCCGAGGUUAUUAAACUACUUAAUGUCAACACCAGGA
Long non-coding RNA from Homo sapiens (human), 1157 nucleotides. Ensembl annotates it as cancer susceptibility 19. Its record names the gene CASC19. NCBI's taxonomy places the organism in Eukaryota, Metazoa, Chordata, Mammalia, Primates, Hominidae. The record is from Ensembl.